Long non-coding RNA from Prunus persica (peach), 2116 nucleotides. RefSeq lists it as uncharacterized. The record is from RefSeq and is a predicted model, not a curated record. Lineage: Eukaryota; Viridiplantae; Streptophyta; Magnoliopsida; Rosales; Rosaceae. The transcript is spliced from 2 exons.
AUCAACACGAUCGACUAGUACCGGACCCAUGCACUGUCUCUCUCUCUCUCUGUCUAUGCAGCCCUUCUUUUUUCUUUUCUUUCUCGUAAAAUGAAGAACAACCCUGGACAAGAGCCGAGUUGCAGAUUGAUGAGAUGAUGAUGAUGACGAUGACGAUGAAUUGGAGUUUAUGUAAAGGAAGCAUGUCCUUUUGAGGGGAAUGUUGUCUGGCACGAGGCCACCAAUCUUGGUUCCUUCCAAAUUUCAAUCCAUACCGAUCUUUGAUCAGAAUUUACGUUCUACGUACAGACGCUCAGGGACUGUGUAUGUUAGUGUCCUCGGACCAGGCUUCAUUCCCCUCAAUUCACUGCUUUCAUCUAAUUUGCCAACACAGCAGUGUUCUUGAUUAUUUUCGCCAAUAUUGGUAUUCCGAUCUACUGCGUGUGGCGGAUCCAUCGAUCUCCAGGUGGGUUUGACUAAUCCCAAAACUGUUUCUAAUUUGAGAUGUUGAUCAACUAGCAGAUUGGUGUAAUGAUAUAUGUAUAGGGUCUGGAAAAGAAAAAACAUUAAUCAUUUGCUUUUGACUUAUGAUUCAUGUUUUCACUAUAAAUUUCAUGUUUUCCACAUUUGGAUGUGAAUUUCUGUCUGUCUUUUACUUUUUUGGUUCAUCAUUGGAUAGAGUUUUCUCUUGACAACCCUAGGUUUUCCAAUCUGUCUGAUAUUGUCUUUGGUGUUAGCUAUCUAGGGUUAAACCUCCUUGCUCUUUUUUGUUUCUUUUUUUAUUAAUAAAUAAUAGAUCUCAUGAUUACUUUUCGUUUUCUUCUCAAACCUCCCUAGGGUUUGUUAAGAGCAAACAAAUUUUGGGGUUUCAUCUCUUGGAUAAUAUCGAUCCAUUCAAAAACAUUAAGCUAAUUGGUUCGCUAAGAUUAAGCUAAUUGUUUGUUAAUUAAAUAAUGAUUUCAGCAGUUUAUACUUGGUGGUAGUGGUAGUGGUAGUGGGGGGGUGGGAUGGAGUUGCAGAGCUGUAUCACAGUAUAAGUAUGAUAUUGAUCUCCAUCCCCUUUCAGCAGCUUUACUAAUGUAUUGAUGUCAAUAUAUUAUUUGUUUAACUCCAAUGUUUUGAGACUUUUAUUGGAAAAGACUUGGAUGGAGUUGCCGUAAAGAUAUAUCCACACUCGCAGUGCGGACAUAUAUUCUGUCGAUUCUUUUUUAUUGUGAUACCGUUUCCUUUUGUAAAAGAGGGGCAUCAUCUUUCUUUCAUGUCUUUUCGAAAUCUUUCUUUUCGUUUCAGUGUUUUUUCUUGACAAUGCCAUCUAUAUCCUCUACAUAUAUACUUAUCUAUGUUAUAUACGUGUGUGUUCAUGUGUCUGUAAUGUAUGGAGGGGAGGAGGGGUUUGAGGUUCAGCUUGAAUACAGCAUGAUCACACCAUUUAGUUUUUUUCCUUAUGAUCUGUUUGAAUCGAAGACAUCCCCCCCUUUUGUUACAGAUACAGAUAUAGAUUGGCAUGAGCUUAUAUUGCCUCCAAUUCUGAGAAUGCCGGUUUUUGCAUUUUUAAUUUCCAUGUCCACAUUUACUUAAUUAUUGUGAGUUGGGAUAUGGCUUUGCCUUGGAUCAUGUAUGCACAUUCUCAUUUUGUCAUAUAUAUAUAUAUAUACUACUUAGUACUGUUUAAUGGCAGGGAGGGCCACGUGAUUAGUAAAAUAAACAUUUGGUACAUUUUAUAUAUUAUAUAUUAUAUGGUGAGAGUAGUGGGUUGCAGGUGUGCAAUGUGCAAUAUUGUGCAAUGUGCAAUGUGCGAGACAAAGGACAGAACAAAAAAAGAAGAAGACGACUUUUAUUUUCAUUAGGUGGAACAGAAAGCGAUCACUCUGGAAAUGUUAUGCAGGUUUUAUAUUGCCACCUGCAGUGAAGACGAUGAAGCAUCAUGCCUUAACACUUCAAGACUCGCUUGUUUAUUUAUGAGGAGAAUUACCUCUUAUGUACUUCUUCAUAGAGAAGUGAUUCUGCAAGAAGUGUUUUUUGUCUCAUCUAAAAUCACUCUCAAUUCAUUCCGCUAAAUAUAUAAAAGAAUUUUUAAUUUUUACAAAGCCAAAUGUACAAGAUUACCAGAAAUUAACAAUUGGACUUGUUUUGGGAU